CCUACGGGCGGCAGCAGUGGGGAAUAUUGCACAAUGGGGGGAACCCUGAUGCAGCGAAGCCGCGUGAGUGAAGAAGUAUUUCGGUAUGUAAAGCUCUAUCAGCAGGGAAGAAGAUGACGGUUCCUGACUAAGAAGCCCCGGCUAACUACGUGCCAGCAGCCGCGGUAAUACGUAGAGGGCACGCGUUAUCCGGAUUUACUGGGUGUAACGGGAGCGUAGAGGGCAGGGCAAGUGUGGAGUGAAAGCCCGGGGUCCAACCCCGGGACUGCUUUGGAAACUGCCAUGCUAGAGUGCUGGAGAGGUAAGCGGAAUUCCUGGUGUAGCGGUGAAAUGCGUAGAUAUUAGGAGGAACACCAGUGGCGAAGGCGGCUUACUGGACAGUAACUGACGUUGAGGCUCGAAAGCGUGGGGAGCAAACAGGAUUAGAUACCCCAGUAGUC
This 440-nucleotide ribosomal RNA is filed under the name uncultured bacterium. Its description in RNAcentral is "partial 16S ribosomal RNA". It matches the Rfam family "Bacterial small subunit ribosomal RNA", at positions 338 to 795 of the family's 1533-position model. The record is from RNAcentral.